RNAcentral lists this ribosomal RNA (64 nucleotides) under Alexandrium monilatum. RNAcentral's name for it is "partial Eukaryotic small subunit ribosomal RNA". Lineage: Eukaryota; Dinophyceae; Gonyaulacales; Pyrocystaceae. The record is from RNAcentral.
UGCGUUGCUUACCUCCCUGCCCUCUGCACUCCCCGCCAGUCGAUCCACCGAUUGAGUGGUCAGA